UGAGGAAUAUUGGUCAAUGGACGAGAGUCUGAACCAGCCAAGUAGCGUGCAGGAUGACGGCCCUAUGGGUUGUAAACUGCUUUUGUUUGGGAAUAAUCGACAUUACGUGUAAUGUUUUGCAUGUACCAUUCGAAUAAGGACCGGCUAAUUCCGUGCCAGCAGCCGCGGUAAUACGGAAGGUCCAGGCGUUAUCCGGAUUUAUUGGGUUUAAAGGGAGCGUAGGCCGUUUGGUAAGCGUGUUGUGAAAUGUAGGAGCUCAACUUCUAGAUUGCAGCGCGAACUGUCAGACUUGAGUGCGCACAACGUAGGCGGAAUUCAUGGUGUAGCGGUGAAAUGCUUAGAUAUCAUGAAGAACUCCGAUUGCGAAGGCAGCUUACGGGAGCGCAACUGACGCUGAAGCUCGAAGGUGCGGGUAUCGAACAGG
RNAcentral lists this ribosomal RNA (424 nucleotides) under Verrucomicrobiota bacterium. Its description in RNAcentral is "Verrucomicrobia bacterium partial 16S ribosomal RNA". It matches the Rfam family "Bacterial small subunit ribosomal RNA", at positions 355 to 776 of the family's 1533-position model. Lineage: Bacteria; Pseudomonadati; Verrucomicrobiota. The record is from RNAcentral.